CUGACGAGUGGCGGACGGGUGAGUAAUGUCUGGGAAACUGCCUGAUGGAGGGGGAUAACUACUGGAAACGGUAGCUAAUACCGCAUAACGUCGCAAGACCAAAGAGGGGGACCUUCGGGCCUCUUGCCAUCGGAUGUGCCCAGAUGGGAUUAGCUAGUAGGUGGGGUAACGGCUCACCUAGGCGACGAUCCCUAGCUGGUCUGAGAGGAUGACCAGCCACACUGGAACUGAGACACGGUCCAGACUCCUACGGGAGGCAGCAGUGGGGAAUAUUGCACAAUGGGCGCAAGCCUGAUGCAGCCAUGCCGCGUGUAUGAAGAAGGCCUUCGGGUUGUAAAGUACUUUCAGCGGGGAGGAAGGCGAUAAGGUUAAUAACCUUGUCGAUUGACGUUACCCGCAGAAGAAGCACCGGCUAACUCCGUGCCAGCAGCCGCGGUAAUACGGAGGGUGCAAGCGUUAAUCGGAAUUACUGGGCGUAAAGCGCACGCAGGCGGUCUGUCAAGUCGGAUGUGAAAUCCCCGGGCUCAACCUGGGAACUGCAUUCGAAACUGGCAGGCUAGAGUCUUGUAGAGGGGGGUAGAAUUCCAGGUGUAGCGGUGAAAUGCGUAGAGAUCUGGAGGAAUACCGGUGGCGAAGGCGGCCCCCUGGACAAAGACUGACGCUCAGGUGCGAAAGCGUGGGGAGCAAACAAGGAUUAGAUACCCUGGUAGUCCCACGCCGUAAACCGAUGUCGACUUGGAGGGUUGUGCCCCUUGAGGCGUGGCUUCCGGAGCUAACGCGUUUAAGUCGACCGCCUUGGGGAUACGGCCGCAAGGUUAAAACUCAAAUUGAAUUUGACGGGGGGCCCGCCCAAAGCGGUGGGAGCNUGGUGG
RNAcentral lists this ribosomal RNA (872 nucleotides) under uncultured bacterium. Its description in RNAcentral is "bacterial SSU rRNA". It matches the Rfam family "Bacterial small subunit ribosomal RNA", at positions 88 to 945 of the family's 1533-position model. The record is from RNAcentral.